AACGAACGCUGGCGGCAGGCUUAACACAUGCAAGUCGAGCGCCCCGCAAGGGGAGCGGCAGACGGGUGAGUAACACGUGGGAAUCUACCCAUCCCUACGGAACAACUCCGGGAAACUGGAGCUAAUACCGUAUACGCCCUUCGGGGGAAAGAUUUAUCGGGGAUGGAUGAGCCCGCGUUGGAUUAGCUAGUUGGUGGGGUAAAGGCCUACCAAGGCGACGAUCCAUAGCUGGUCUGAGAGGAUGAUCAGCCACAUUGGGACUGAGACACGGCCCAAACUCCUACGGGAGGCAGCAGUGGGGAAUAUUGGACAAUGGGCGCAAGCCUGUUCCAGCCAUGCCGCGUGAAUGAUGAAGGCCUUAGGGUUGUAAAGUUCUUUCACCGAUGAAGAUAAUGACGGUAGUCGGAGAAGAAGCCCCGGCUAACUUCGUGCCAGCCGCCGCCGUAA
RNAcentral lists this ribosomal RNA (447 nucleotides) under uncultured bacterium. Its description in RNAcentral is "partial 16S ribosomal RNA". It matches the Rfam family "Bacterial small subunit ribosomal RNA", at positions 29 to 523 of the family's 1533-position model. The record is from RNAcentral.